This 465-nucleotide long non-coding RNA is filed under the name Pan troglodytes (chimpanzee). Its description in RNAcentral is "lncRNA (ENSPTRG00000052908.1)". The record is from RNAcentral. Lineage: Eukaryota; Metazoa; Chordata; Mammalia; Primates; Hominidae.
CUCCCAUGCAGUUCAAGUUUAACAUAUCUUAUUUUUUUUUGUCUUUGUUUAUAGAGAGGGGGUUUCGCCAUGUUGCCCGGGCUGGUCUUGAAAUCCUGAACUCAAGUGAUACGCCUGCCUCAGCCUCCCAAAGUGCUGGAAUUACAGGCAUGAGCCACCACACCAGGCCUAGCUUAAAAUAUCUUUGAAAAGAAUAUUUUCAAGUAUGUUAGCAAGUGUUUCUGAAUGGAAUGUUUGUGCAAAGUAUAUCAGCAAAACGAAGCCACAGUCUUAGCCACACUGGACGUCAUUGUCAAUGAAGAGAAGACUAAACAGGGAGUGGGAGUAAAAGCAACACCUGCUCCUGAAGAACCAACUAUCAGAGUCUUCAUCUUUCCCAAGGAAAAGCAUAUACAUUUCUCUUGGCUUUCUGCUGUACUCCGGGCUGGCGGUUAUCAGCCCUGCUGCUGUGAUGGUCAACAUUGA